This 275-nucleotide ribosomal RNA is filed under the name uncultured bacterium. Its description in RNAcentral is "partial 16S ribosomal RNA". It matches the Rfam family "Bacterial small subunit ribosomal RNA", at positions 338 to 606 of the family's 1533-position model. The record is from RNAcentral.
CCUACGGGUGGCUGCAGUGGGGAAUAUUGGGCAAUGGGCGCAAGCCUGACCCAGCCACGCCGCGUGAGUGAUGAAGGCCUUCGGGUCGUAAAGCUCUGUGGGGAGAGACGAAAAAACGUUGGCUAAUAUCCAACGGACUGACGGUAUCUCCUUAGCAAGCACCGGCUAACUCUGUGCCAGCAGCCGCGGUAAUACAGAGGGUGCAAACGUUGCUCGGAAUCAUUGGGCGUAAAGCGCACGUAGGCGGUUUGUUAAGUCGGUAGUGAAAGCCCUCG